GACGAACCGUGCGAACGUUAUUCGGAAUCAUUGGGCUUAAAGGGUGCGUAGGCGGGCUCGUGAGUCAGGGGUGAAAUCCCACGGCCCAACCGUGGAAGUGCCUCUGAUACUGCGGGCCUGGAGGGGGAUAGGGGCGUGCGGAACUUCCGGUGGAGCGGUGAAAUGCGUAGAUAUCGGAAGGAACACCGGUGGCGAAAGCGGCGCGCUGGAUCCCUACUGACGCUGAGGCACGAAAGCCAGGGGAGCAAACGGG
RNAcentral lists this ribosomal RNA (253 nucleotides) under uncultured bacterium. RNAcentral describes it as "partial 16S ribosomal RNA". It matches the Rfam family "Bacterial small subunit ribosomal RNA", at positions 524 to 776 of the family's 1533-position model. The record is from RNAcentral.